GUCCCCGUAGCUCAACUGGAUAGAGCGUUGGCCUCCGAAGCCAGAGGUUGCUGGUUCGACCCCAGCCGGGGACG
Molecule: transfer RNA, 74 nt
Filed under: Bremerella cremea
Lineage: Bacteria; Pseudomonadati; Planctomycetota; Planctomycetia; Pirellulales; Pirellulaceae
Description: Blastopirellula cremea tRNA-Arg
Rfam family: tRNA
About the family: Transfer RNA (tRNA) molecules are approximately 80 nucleotides in length. Their secondary structure includes four short double-helical elements and three loops (D, anti-codon, and T loops). Further hydrogen bonds mediate the characteristic L-shaped molecular structure. tRNAs have two regions of fundamental functional importance: the anti-codon, which is responsible for specific mRNA codon recognition, and the 3' end, to which the tRNAs corresponding amino acid is attached (by aminoacyl-tRNA synthetases). tRNAs cope with the degeneracy of the genetic code in two manners: having more than one tRNA (with a specific anti-codon) for a particular amino acid; and 'wobble' base-pairing, i.e. permitting non-standard base-pairing at the 3rd anti-codon position.
Source: RNAcentral